Molecule: ribosomal RNA, 245 nt
Filed under: uncultured bacterium
Lineage: Bacteria
Description: partial 16S ribosomal RNA
Rfam family: Bacterial small subunit ribosomal RNA
Source: RNAcentral
UAGUCCACGCUGUAAACGAUGAGUGCAAGGUGUUGGGGGCCAAACCUCGGUGCCGCCGUUAACACAGUAAGCACUCCGCCUGGGGAGUACGUACGCAAGUAUGAAACUCAAAGGAAUUGACGGGGACCCGCACAAGUAGCGGAGCAUGUGGUUUAAUUCGAUGCAACGCGAAGAACCUUACCAGGGCUUGACAUAAAAGUGACGAGGGAUAGAGAUAUUCCUUUUCUCUUCGGAGACAGUUUUAC